RNAcentral lists this ribosomal RNA (1268 nucleotides) under Deretrema nahaense. Its description in RNAcentral is "eukaryotic LSU rRNA". It matches the Rfam family "Eukaryotic large subunit ribosomal RNA", at positions 70 to 923 of the family's 3401-position model. Lineage: Eukaryota; Metazoa; Platyhelminthes; Trematoda; Plagiorchiida; Zoogonidae. The record is from RNAcentral.
AAGGAUUCCCUUAGUAACGGCGAGUGAACAGGGAAAAGCCCAGCACCGAAGCCUGUGGUCGUUUGAUCACUAGGCAAUGUGGUGUUCAGGUCGUUCCGCAGGGACACUGCUCCACCCUAAGUCCGGCAAUGAACACGGUAGUACGGACAUGGCCCGCAGAGGGUGAAAGGCCCGUGUGGGUGGAGAUUCGAUGUGCCAGUGUCUCUCUGGGUAGACCUUGGAGUCGGGUUGUUUGUGAAUGCAGCCCAAAGUGGGUGGUAAACUCCAUCCAAGGCUAAAUACAUACACGAGUCCGAUAGUAAACAAGUACCGUGAGGGAAAGUUGAAAAGUACUUUGAAGAGAGAGUAAACAGUGCGUGAAGCCGCUCAGAGGUAAACGGAUGGAGGUGAACUGCUGGCUUUGAGAAUUCAGCUGUCAAGUAUGGUUUGGACUUGGUCAAACUGGCUGAACGUCGUGGUCUGCGUGGUAGCAGGUCUCCGUCUCUGACGGAGGUGCGCGAUACGCUCAUCAUGCGUUGCGCGCCACGUGGUUCAUCGAGCCGGCUUGUCAGUGCACUUUCUCUAAGCACUCACCAUGACUGGCACUACUGCCCGGCUGUCGGGGUUAAACCGGUCAUUCGUCGUCCUUGCGACAACGUUUGGUUGGGAUGGCAGAUAACUCGCUGGCUUGUCUGCGCUCCGUCGCAGGCGUUCAGUCCUCGGGUACAAUCAGCCGACCCUGAUGGUUCUGUGCAGUGUGUCAAGGACGGCGGCUAGCGGUGUGUGCACGUGCGCCUGACCGGUUGGCGUGUUCGAGUUUGGUCGUCAUGUUGCCUGUCAAAGCAGGCCUGUCGAUGGCUUGAGCUCGUCCGACCGGCGGUAGUACGUGUAACACCUCACCAAGGGCCAAAAGUCUGUGGUGUUGCGGUAUAUUAUCCAUCCGACCCGUCUUGAAACACGGACCAAGGAGAGUAACAUUUGCGCGAGUUAUUGGGCGUUACGAAACCCAAAGGCACAGUGAAAGUGAAGCUCUGGCUUGUCCGGAGUGUGGUGAGAUCCUGCCCUGUCUCAUGCAUGGUGCUACCAAGUAUCGAGGGGUAGGCGCAUCACCGGCCCGUCCCAGUACAAUUGCUCUCGUGCGUUUAUCAGUCGGGGCGGAGCAUGAGCGCAGAUGUUGAGACCCGAAAGAUGGUGAACUAUGCUUGCGCAGGUUGAAGCCAGAGGAAACUYUGGUGGAGGACCGAAGCGGUUCUGACGUGCAAAUCNAUCGCCAGACGUGAGUAUAGGGG